AUGGACAUGUCUUCUGCGUCACAGCUUGAACAAUCGAAACCCUUAAUGGAGGCAGAUGUUCAGUUCGAUUCUUGGGCAGAAAAAGCAAUACGCAAUUUCAUCUUUGAAGUUGGACUUGGGCCUCGUUUUGUCUACUUGACAUCUUUCAAGGAGAUGCUUCAAACUGUUCACAGUAGGGAUGUUGAAAUUCCUACAUAUGAAUCCAUGCUACGGGAGGAACUAAAAGAAACUCAGCACCGGGCAAUGCAACUCAAGCAAGAAUGGAAAAAAAGUGGUUGCAGUAUAAUUAUGGAUAGUUGGAAGAGCCGAUGUGGUACAAAAAGCUUCAUAAGUGUUUUGGUGCAUUGCAGCAAAGGUAUGUAUUUCCUCAGAUCGAUCGAUGUCUCUGGAAUCCUCGAGGACAUGGAUGAGCUAGUUUCAGUGUUUUCUCGUGUGGUUGAUGAUGUUGGUGCCCGCAACAUACUUCAAGUUAUCAGAAAUGAUGCGUCACCACAUAUGCAAAUGGCAUGGCAUUAUGUGCAGAAGGAACAUGACCAUUCAUUCUUCGUCCCACUGUGUGCUGACUUUUGCAUCAACCUUCUGCUUGAGAAAAUUGCAGCAUUUGAUCACGUCAGUGAGGUUCUAAGGAAGGCAAAGGAAAUAACAAGGUUUAUAUAUGGCAAUGUGCUGGCAUAUGAACUGGUAGGGCGGUAUAUUGAUGACGGUGAGAUCCUGAGCAAUUCUUGUUUCAAAUCUGUUGCAGAGUUCAUCACAUUAGAUAGGUUAGUUUCUAUGAGAGAAAAUCUAGUUGAGAUGUUUAGCUCACCUGAAUGGGUUUCCUCUGAUCGGUCUACUAGAAUGUUUAACCCACUUGAUUGGAUUUCCUCUGGUUUCUCUACUACUACAAGUUUGUUCAGGCAUAUCUGUGGCAUAGUAAAGACAGAUGAUGCAUUUUGGUGUGCUGCUGCUGAUGUUUUGAAGAUUACAAAACCAUUUAUCGAUGUGUUGCUUAAACUAGAAUCUGAGGACUGUCCAAUGGGUAUCUUGUAUGACACCAUGGCAAGUGCAAAAGACAUAGUGCACAAUCUUGGAGAUAAAUAUGGUGAUAUUUUGCAUUGGGUUGAUGAGAUAUGGUAUGGUUACUUGCAUACCCCACUCCAUGCUGCUGGUCAUAUGCUAAACCCAAGGGUCUUUUACAAAGAUCCUUCCUGUGAUGAUCCUGAGCUCAGCGGUCGUAUUGAGGCCUGCACAACCGCAAUUGCAAAAGGACAUUAUGAUCCAGGGAGACUGAAAGCACAAAUUGAAGUAUAUAAAGGAAGAUCAGGUUCUUUUGGUUCAGAUUCAGCAAUUCAGCAAAUAGUGGGGACACCACAAGUUGUUUGGUGGUCGGCGCAUGGGACAGGCACGCCUGAGCUGCAGAGCUUUGCCACUCGGGUCUUACGCCAAACAUGCUUUGGCGCUAAAAGAUACAACAUCAGCAGUCAGGUAUCGGAGGAGGCGCAUGAGACGAGGGGAGCUGAUCUCGAAGGGCUGUACCGUGGGCUGGAGUACGUCCACUACAACAGGCGUUUCGCCAGCGCGGCACCACUCAUAGGCGGUCUUUCGGGGGAUCAGUGUGGUAAACCUGGCAGGAAGCUGGGGAGCGACUGGUUCCUGUAUCCGCGGCACCGACAGCAUAUCGUAAUCGGAUCAUCGAACACAUAG
Molecule: ribosomal RNA, 1683 nt
Filed under: Triticum aestivum (bread wheat)
Lineage: Eukaryota; Viridiplantae; Streptophyta; Magnoliopsida; Poales; Poaceae
Description: partial small subunit ribosomal RNA
Source: RNAcentral